RNAcentral lists this long non-coding RNA (469 nucleotides) under Jatropha curcas. RNAcentral describes it as "long non-coding RNA (JCUR_LNC002966)". Lineage: Eukaryota; Viridiplantae; Streptophyta; Magnoliopsida; Malpighiales; Euphorbiaceae. The record is from RNAcentral.
CUAAGGUUGCGCGGUUGCGACUUUGAGCCAGAAACUCUCUGACUCUCAUUUGACAUUCUCGCGCUCGCGACUUGGCAUGUCGCGCUCGCGACUGAUGCUUUGACAUUCUUUUUGUCUUCAUUUCCUAUGCAAUUAACUUCCUUUGCUCAUCAUGCAUGCAUCCAAUCAUUGUAAAACAAAAAUACAACAUAAGAACAUGGAUUAAAACAACAUGUAAGUAUUUAUAUGAUGUGAACUCAAAUCAAUAUGAUGAACUAUGAAGUUGUAAAACCAUUUAUGUGCUAUUGUGUUACAUUGUUGAUAUGCUAAUAUGAAGCUCCAUUGAGGUUGGGUAGAAACCAUGUAGAUAAGGCUAUGUCGCGACAUAGAAUAGCAGAUCUGCGCCCCAUACAGUUUGGAACUCCGACUACAGGCCGUUGAGUGGAUAUGAUUAUACAGGCCAUAGCAGCCAAGCAUACAGUAUUCAUAC